This 559-nucleotide ribosomal RNA is filed under the name Penicillium oxalicum. RNAcentral describes it as "eukaryotic LSU rRNA". The stretch from base 176 to 329 matches the Rfam family "5.8S ribosomal RNA". Lineage: Eukaryota; Fungi; Ascomycota; Eurotiomycetes; Eurotiales; Aspergillaceae. The record is from RNAcentral.
GGCCAUCGGUAGUCUCUGGGUCACCUCCCACCCGUGUUUAUCGUACCUUGUUGCUUCGGCGGGCCCGCCUCACGGCCGCCGGGGGGCAUCCGCCCCCGGGCCCGCGCCCGCCGAAGACACACAAACGAACUCUUGUCUGAAGAUUGCAGUCUGAGUACUUGACUAAAUCAGUUAAAACUUUCAACAACGGAUCUCUUGGUUCCGGCAUCGAUGAAGAACGCAGCGAAAUGCGAUAAGUAAUGUGAAUUGCAGAAUUCAGUGAAUCAUCGAGUCUUUGAACGCACAUUGCGCCCCCUGGUAUUCCGGGGGGCAUGCCUGUCCGAGCGUCAUUGCUGCCCUCAAGCACGGCUUGUGUGUUGGGCUCUCGCCCCCCGCUUCCGGGGGGCGGGCCCGAAAGGCAGCGGCGGCACCGCGUCCGGUCCUCGAGCGUAUGGGGCUUCGUCACCCGCUCUGUAGGCCCGGCCGGCGCCCGCCGGCGAACACCAUCAAUCUUAACCAGGUUGACCUCGGAUCAGGUAGGGAUACCCGCUGAACUUAAGCAUAUCAAUAAGCGGAGGAA